Molecule: long non-coding RNA, 597 nt
Organism: Solanum pennellii
Lineage: Eukaryota; Viridiplantae; Streptophyta; Magnoliopsida; Solanales; Solanaceae
Exons: 2
Source: RefSeq, a predicted model, not a curated record
UAACCUUUCUUCCCCAAAUUGCAUGUUUCAUCUCCACAUCUCACGUUUAAGUUUAGAUUCCUUCAAGCUGCUAAAUUAUUGCACAUCGAGAAUUUUUCUUUAUUGUUAAUCUAAAUCUAUUUAUUAAUUCAAGAAGAUUUUCGAUUGACAAGGAGCAUACUCGAGGCAGGAAAUGUGGAGUAUGUUUUCUCAAGCUUAUCAUUUUCAGUGACCUCUUCUCCGCAUAAAUUUAAUUGUGAUAUAAUUCUAUACAUGGAAGAAUUAUAUUCAGUUUUACUUUUAAAGUCCGAUAACCUCAAAUUAACCAAUCAUGAUGCGCCUAUGGUAGAAUGACCAACUUUAGGUGGUCAUGUCUAUCUUUCAAAUUAUUUCAUAGUACAAGUGGGUCUUUAAUAGUGACAUAUUGCAUUUUCAAUCCCUCGUCGAGAUAGUGAAGGAGAAAUAUCAUAACUUUUGCAUGUUCUUGACUGAAUGUCUGGUUAUUAUUUUUGAUGGUUUCUACCAGACCCAUUGCUUCCAUGUGAAUUUUAGCAUCUAAUAUCCAUGAUGAGUAUCCUUUGUCCGAUAUAUCCAAGGCAACAAAUUCAAGUUCAGAAA